AUGCACGCUGGCGGCGUGCCUCAUCCAUGCCAGUCGAGCGAACAGAUGAGGAGCUUGCUCCUCUGACGUUAGCGGCGGACGGGUGAGUAACACGUGGAUAACCUACCUAUAAGACUGGGAUAACUUCGGGAAACCGGAGCUAAUACCGGAUAAUAUAUUGAACCGCAUGGUUCAAUAGUGAAAGACGGUUUUGCUGUCACUUAUAGAUGGAUCCGCGCCGCAUUAGCUAGUUGGUAAGGUAACGGCUUACCAAGGCGACGAUGCGUAGCCGACCUGAGAGGGUGAUCGGCCACACUGGAACUGAGACACGGUCCAGACUCCUACGGGAGGCAGCAGUAGGGAAUCUUCCGCAAUGGGCGAAAGCCUGACGGAGCAACGCCGCGUGAGUGAUGAAGGUCUUCGGAUCGUAAAACUCUGUUAUUAGGGAAGAACAAAUGUGUAAGUAACUAUGCACGUCUUGACGGUACCUAAUCAGAAAGCCACGGCUAACUACGUG
RNAcentral lists this ribosomal RNA (496 nucleotides) under uncultured bacterium. RNAcentral's name for it is "partial 16S ribosomal RNA". It matches the Rfam family "Bacterial small subunit ribosomal RNA", at positions 29 to 507 of the family's 1533-position model. The record is from RNAcentral.